GACGAACGCUGGCGGCGUGCUUAACACAUGCAAGUCGAACGGAAAGGCCCUGCUUUUGUGGGGUGCUCGAGUGGCGAACGGGUGAGUAACACGUGAGUAACCUGCCCUUGACUUUGGGAUAACUUCAGGAAACUGGGGCUACUACCGGAUAGGAGCUCCUGCUGCAUGGUGGGGGUUGGAACGUUUCGGCGUUUGGGGAUGGACUCGCGGCUUAUCAGCUUGUUGGUGGGGUAGUGGCUUACCAAGGCUUUGACGGGUAGCCGGCCUGAGAGGGUGACCGGCCACAUGGGGACUGAGAUACGGCCCAGACUCCUACGGGAGGCAGCAGUGGGGAAUAUUGCACAAUGGGCGGAAGCCUGAUGCAGCAACGCCGCGUGCGGGAUGACGGCCUUCGGGUUGUAAACCGCUUUCGCCUGUGACGAAGCGUGAGUGACGGUAAUGGGUAAAGAAGCACCGGCUAACUACGUG
Molecule: ribosomal RNA, 468 nt
Filed under: uncultured bacterium
Lineage: Bacteria
Description: partial 16S ribosomal RNA
Rfam family: Bacterial small subunit ribosomal RNA
Source: RNAcentral